CCUACGGGGGGCAGCAGUGGGGAAUAUUGCGCAAUGGGCGAAAGCCUGACGCAGCGACGCCGCGUGAGGGAUGAAGGUCUUCGGAUCGUAAACCUCUGUCAGCAGGGAAGAACGGUCAAGGGGCUAAUCAGCAGUGAAUUGACGGUACCGGCAAAGGAAGAACCGGCUAACUCCGUGCCAGCAGCCGCGGUAAUACUGAGGGUGCGAGCGUUAAUCGGAAUUACUGGGCGGAAAGCGCUCGUAGGCGGUAUGUCAAGUCAAGGGUGAAAUCCCCGCGCUCAACGUGGGAACUGCCUUUGAAACUGGCAAACUGGAGUGUGUGAGAGGAUAGUGGAAUUCCAGGUG
RNAcentral lists this ribosomal RNA (345 nucleotides) under uncultured bacterium. Its description in RNAcentral is "partial 16S ribosomal RNA". It matches the Rfam family "Bacterial small subunit ribosomal RNA", at positions 338 to 675 of the family's 1533-position model. The record is from RNAcentral.